Callorhinus ursinus (northern fur seal) is the source of this 141-nucleotide small nuclear RNA. RefSeq annotates it as U4 spliceosomal RNA. The record is from RefSeq and is a predicted model, not a curated record. NCBI's taxonomy places the organism in Eukaryota, Metazoa, Chordata, Mammalia, Carnivora, Otariidae.
AGCUUUGCGCAGUGGCAGUAUCGUAGCCAAUGAGGUUUAUCCGAGGCGCGAUUAUUGCUAAUAGAAUAAGAUCCCAUUUUUUAUUAAAUUUUAAUACUUUGCAAGUAUUAAAUUUCAAACAUCAGAAGAGAGGACCGUUUU